GUGCUCGCUUCGGCAGCACAUAUACUAAAAUUGGAUCGAUACAGAGACGACUUAGCAUGGCCCCUGCGAAAGGAUGACACGCAAAUCCCGUGAAGCGCUCCAUAUUUUC
RNAcentral lists this small nuclear RNA (109 nucleotides) under Esox lucius (northern pike). Lineage: Eukaryota; Metazoa; Chordata; Actinopteri; Esociformes; Esocidae. The record is from RNAcentral.